CUCGGCGAAUUAUGUACGCGCCGAGAGGAAAGCGUACUGCGCUGCUAUUUCACGCAUCGGAUCCAGUUUGCGCGAGACGAAGGGCAAAACUGUGGCGGGGGCAGACUUUUUCAGAAAAACCGACGCGAUUGACGAAACACGGGACAACAGCACCCCGCCGAGCCUCGCAGUGAGAAUUAACCAGGCCGGGAUUCGCGAUUAACGCACGAAGCAAUAGGAUCAACUGCUUUUUCUAAUCAGCUUUGUUUCUCGUCCUCGUUUACACGAACGAGGACGCCGGAGCACACAGAGGAGAACAGAAGUCGGAGCAGCCUCGACAUGUCCCGGAAUCGUUGGGCGGAAUUUAUGGACCGCCUAGUUCCUGGCCCAGAAAACAACUACCGCGAAAAUAACGCCGAAGCUCCGUUGGUCUUUCCUUUUCUCGAGAUCUCGUAAUUUCGUCAGAUGGAUUUGAUGGAGCGAGAACUUCCAUCGUUCGUGCAGUCACCAACAUCGCCGACAGGCAUCGUGUACUUCGGGAAGCAAAGUACGGAUAGGUACAUAUUCGCAGAACAAAAGGGGACGAACGAUACGACACCGAAAAGGAUUUAAUUCUGGUAGAUGCACGGAUGCAUCGCGAUGACUUCUUAGACGAGGUAAUCCUUGCCGAUCCACGAGCGUUCCUAGGUAAUCGGAAACCGCGUUUACAUAAGAUUGACGCUUUUACAAAGGCGAGCAGGAAACCGAGCGGAUCGUUGCAAUACGAAUGGCUUUAGAUACAACGAGUAAUUGUUUCAGCUGUAGAUACGUAGGUAAUUUCGAAAGGCAGCGGUGGUCGAUCGAGACGAAGUUUGGUGGAUAUCGUGAGAUAAGAUAGUAAUUAAACGUUGUGCAAUUACAAGUGAAAUAUAAAAUCUUAACUUUGGCAAAUCAUGCAUUCAGCCGAUAUAGAUCUCUGCAUCUCUGAUAGACGGCCAGAAGAGUAUAAGUCAGAAUUAUUAAUUUCGCGGGGAAGCAUUUAUACUAUAAGCUUAGCUAUUAUAUUUUGGAUAUACCGUUAGAAUCUCGGAAAAAUUGAAAUUGACUCGUAUUAGUAGCAAUCACAGGGAAAAGAAAGUAAUGUAGAAAAUACUAGCGUACUUAUCCUGUUGACCACAAUUUGACUUGUAU
This is a long non-coding RNA of Bombus pascuorum, 1149 nucleotides long. RefSeq lists it as uncharacterized. The record is from RefSeq and is a predicted model, not a curated record. The transcript is spliced from 4 exons. NCBI's taxonomy places the organism in Eukaryota, Metazoa, Arthropoda, Insecta, Hymenoptera, Apidae.